AAGCAUAUCAAUAAGCGGAGGAAAAGAAACCAACCGGGAUUGCCUCAGUAACGGCGAGUGAAGCGGCAAGAGCUCAAAUUUGAAAUCUGGCCCCUCCGGGGUCCGAGUUGUAAUUUGCAGAGGAUGCUUCGGGUGCGGCCCCUGUCUAAGUGCCCUGGAACGGGCCGUCAGAGAGGGUGAGAAUCCCGUCUUGGGCAGGGUGCCCGUGCCCGUGUGAAGCUCCUUCGACGAGUCGAGUUGUUUGGGAAUGCAGCUCUAAAUGGGUGGUAAAUUUCAUCUAAAGCUAAAUACCGGCCGGAGACCGAUAGCGCACAAGUAGAGUGAUCGAAAGAUGAAAAGCACUUUGAAAAGAGAGUUAAACAGCACGUGAAAUUGUUGAAAGGGAAGCGCUUGCGACCAGACUCGCCCCCGGGGUUCAGCCAGCACUCGUGCUGGUGUACUUCCCCGGGGUCGGGCCAGCGUCGGUUCGGGCGGCCGGUCAAAGGCCCCAGGAAUGUAUCGCCCUCCGGGGCGUCUUAUAGCCUGGGGUGCAAUGCGGCCAGCCCGGACCGAGGAACGCGCUUCGGCACGGACGCUGGCGUAAUGGUCGCAAACGACCCGUCUUGAAACACGGACCAAGGAGUCUAACAUCUACGCGAGUGUUCGGGUGUCAAACCCGUACGCGCAGUGAAAGCGAACGGAGGUGGGAGCCCCCCCGGGGCGCACCAUCGACCGAUCCUGAUGUCUUCGGAUGGAUUUGAGUAGGAGCGUAGCUGUGGGGACCCGAAAGAUGGUGAACUAUGCCUGAAUAGGGCGAAGCCAGAGGAAACUCUGGUGGAGGCUCGCAGCGGUUCUGACGUGCAAAUCGAUCGUCAAAUUUGGGUAUAGGGGCGAAAGACUAAUCGAACCAUCUGGUAGCUGGUUCUGCGAGGCUCUCCUCUCUAGAGA
This 927-nucleotide ribosomal RNA is filed under the name Aspergillus egyptiacus. RNAcentral's name for it is "LSU rRNA". It matches the Rfam family "Eukaryotic large subunit ribosomal RNA", at positions 36 to 980 of the family's 3401-position model. The record is from RNAcentral. Lineage: Eukaryota; Fungi; Ascomycota; Eurotiomycetes; Eurotiales; Aspergillaceae.